GAUGAAGAACGCAGUGAAAUGCGAUAAGUAAUGUGAAUUGCAGAAUUCAGUGAAUCAUCGAGUCUUUGAACGCACAUUGCGCCCCCUGGUAUUCCGGGGGGCAUGCCUGUCCGAGCGUCAUUGCUGCCCUCAAGCACGGCUUGUGUGUUGGGCUCCGCCCCCCUCCCGGGGGGCGGGCCCGAAAGGCAGCGGCGGCACCGCGUCCGGUCCUCGAGCGUAUGGGGCUUUGUCACCCGCUCUGUAGGCCCGGCCGGCGCCCGCCGGCGACCCCAAUCAAUCUUUCCAGGUUGACCUCGGAUCAGGUAGGGAUACCCGCUGAACUUAAGCAUAUCAAUAAGCGGAGGA
Molecule: unclassified non-coding RNA, 345 nt
Filed under: soil metagenome
Description: partial contains 5.8S ribosomal RNA, internal transcribed spacer 2, and large subunit ribosomal RNA
Rfam family: 5.8S ribosomal RNA (bases 1-120)
Source: RNAcentral